Long non-coding RNA from Solea senegalensis (Senegalese sole), 949 nucleotides. RefSeq lists it as uncharacterized. The record is from RefSeq and is a predicted model, not a curated record. NCBI's taxonomy places the organism in Eukaryota, Metazoa, Chordata, Actinopteri, Pleuronectiformes, Soleidae. The transcript is spliced from 4 exons.
UUUUUUUUUUUUUUUUUUUUUUUGCCCAGGAAGAGAGACUGGACCACGGGGAACACCUUAACAGGAUCUGUCGCUGGGGGAUUCGACUGAAGUGUGAAGAGGAGUGUAUAUGGGAGAUGUGCAGAGAAUUCUAAAUAGCCUGCUCCCCGGGCCCCCGAAGAGGAACCAGCGGCAUGAUGUCACACACCUGUUUGGCUGGAGGCUGCGGCCCGGCGAUGCUUGGAGCCGUGGGUGUCGCGUUGGCACCCCUUGCUCCCCCCUUGUCGCUGCCUGCUACGCCCCGUGGAUGUGUCAAAAUGGCAGAUGAUGGUUGGGGUGUGUGCAGCUGCUUGGGAAGAGGAGUGCCAAGGGCGCUCAUUUCCUGCGGAAACUCUUGGAAGGCAAAAGCAACAUCCUGAGUUGGUGAGGAGACAGGAGAGGUGCUGACAUGCCGACAGGCAGGGGAUCCUGGGAAAAGCCACAGACAGGAAGAGCCUGACUGACUUUGACCCCCGAGGUCAAGGCUGGGGGCUCGGCAACUGAAAGAUGUUUCCAAGCCACGCUCGUACUAUCACAGAGUUUUACAGGAAAUGGCUUAGAAAUACUGUACGCUGUGAAAUGUGGGGGAUCUUUUUAUUGCGCGCUCUCUUUUGUUUUUUCCCGUCCCUGUGAUAUAAAAUGCAUUUUGGCCCAGAGCUAUAUUUGACUUAUUUGUUUGAGGGUUACUGUAUGUAAUUGAGUUGAGCUCAAGUCCAUCUCUCAUCUCUAUAAUGUGAAAAGCAGUGUGUUUUGUGUGUUUUUUCCCUGUGUGAGUGUGUGUGGAUGGGCCAUGACUAAUAGAAUUAGUGAUGAUGGGAGAUGUGGAGAUUUGCGAGACAGAAAUUAGACUGGGACAAAAGCACAGUGUUACUCUAGUGCUCCGAUUUCUGACAUGUGUUUUGAAUAGAGUGAAGUUUCCUACUCUUUUUUU